AGCGGCAACAGCUCAUAUUUGAAAUCUGGCCCCCCGGCCCGAGUUGUAAUUUGCAGAGGAUGCUUUUGGUGAGGCACCUACCGAGUCCCCUGGAAUGGGGCGCCAUAGAGGGUGAGAGCCCCGUAUGGUAGGACGCCGAACCUCUGUAAAGCUCCUUCGACGAGUCGAGUAGUUUGGGAAUGCUGCUCUAAAUGGGAGGUAAAUUUCUUCUAAAGCUAAAUACCGGCCAGAGACCGAUAGCGCACAAGUAGAGUGAUCGAAAGAUGAAAAGCACUUUGAAAAGAGGGUUAAAAAGUACGUGAAAUUGUUGAAAGGGAAGCGCUUGUGACCAGACUUGCGCCGGGCGGAUCAUCCAGCGUUCUCGCUGGUGCACUCCGCCCGGUUCAGGCCAGCAUCGGUUUUCGCCGGGGGACAAAGGCUUCGGGAACGUGGCUCCUUUCGGGGAGUGUUAUAGCCCGUUGCGUAAUACCCCGGCGGGGACCGACGACCGCGCUUCGGCAAGGAUGCUGGCGUAAUGGUCAUCAGCGACCCGUCUUGAAACACGGACCGAGGAGUCAAGCAUUAGUGCGAGUGUUUGGGUGUAAAACCCGCACGCGUAAUGAAAGUGAACGUAGGUGAGAGCUUCGGCGCAUCAUCGACCGAUCCUGAUGUUUUCGGAAGGAUUUGAGUAGGAGCAUUAACGCUUGGACCCGAAAGAUGGUGAACUAUACUUGAAUAGGGUGAAGCCA
RNAcentral lists this ribosomal RNA (728 nucleotides) under Pyricularia oryzae. RNAcentral's name for it is "eukaryotic LSU rRNA". It matches the Rfam family "Eukaryotic large subunit ribosomal RNA", at positions 97 to 854 of the family's 3401-position model. Lineage: Eukaryota; Fungi; Ascomycota; Sordariomycetes; Magnaporthales; Pyriculariaceae. The record is from RNAcentral.